UCUCCGUUGGUGAACCAGCGGAGGGAUCAUUGCUGGAAGCGUCUCACGGCGCACCCAGAUACCCUUUGUGAACCAUACCUCUCUGUUGCCUCGGCGGGCCUCUGAGAUUCGUCUCACGUCCGCCGGCGGCCCAUUAAACUCUGUUACUUUUAAGCAAUCUGAGUCUUUUAUAAAAUAAAGUCAAAACUUUCAACAACGGAUCUCUUGGUUCUGGCAUCGAUGAAGAACGCAGC
RNAcentral lists this unclassified non-coding RNA (233 nucleotides) under uncultured fungus. RNAcentral describes it as "sequence contains ITS1, 5.8S rRNA gene". The stretch from base 185 to 233 matches the Rfam family "5.8S ribosomal RNA", at positions 1 to 49 of the family's 154-position model. The record is from RNAcentral. Lineage: Eukaryota; Fungi.